UACGGGGGGGGCAAGCGUUGUUCGGAAUUACUGGGCGUAAAGGGCUCGUAGGUGGCCAACUAAGUCAGACGUGAAGUCCCUCGGCUUAACCGGGGAACUGCGUCUGAUACUGGAUGGCUUGAGUUCGGGAGAGGGAUGCGGAAUUCCAGGUGUAGCGGUGAGAUGCGUAGAUAUCUGGAGGAACACCGGUGGCGAAGGCGGCAUCCUGGACCGGCAUUGACGCUGAGGCGCGAAAGCCAGGGGAGCAAACGGG
RNAcentral lists this ribosomal RNA (253 nucleotides) under uncultured bacterium. Its description in RNAcentral is "partial 16S ribosomal RNA". It matches the Rfam family "Bacterial small subunit ribosomal RNA", at positions 524 to 776 of the family's 1533-position model. The record is from RNAcentral.